Meriones unguiculatus (Mongolian gerbil) is the source of this 703-nucleotide long non-coding RNA. RefSeq lists it as uncharacterized. The record is from RefSeq and is a predicted model, not a curated record. NCBI's taxonomy places the organism in Eukaryota, Metazoa, Chordata, Mammalia, Rodentia, Muridae. The transcript has 2 exons.
CCGACAGGCUGCAGAAGCCGCCCCUGGAAGCACAGCGCACGGCCUGGACGCCCCAGACCACAGCUCGGGCGGUGAGUCCGGCUAGGCCCACCUCCCAGCCCGUCCCUCCGGGUGUCCUUCGGAGGCCGGGCACCCGCCGGUCUGCAGAAGCUGGCGGGGUCUCGGGCGAGCGGCCCAGCGGCACGAGUUCCCCAGGAGGCGACGAUUCCGGGAGUCCUGCUGGCACGCGUAACUCUCGGCGUUCCCGCUACGGUGUCAGCAAAGUCCUGGCAUUUUUCUCCGGCCUUAAAGGGUGAUUGGUUAUUGCUUUGCACGGUAACCCUGGAAGCACUCUGACAUUGACCAAAAAGGAUCUCCAGCAGUGUCUCCGUCCUUGAGAUGACCUUGGGACGUGGACGCGUGGGAACCUUGGUGGACUUUCUGAAGGAGCUAUUCCCAGAGCUGGGGACGUGUACAAAAGCUGCAAAGACACACUGGUGGCCUGGAGUAGGUGCCCAUUCCGACUUUGCCUAUCGCCUAACUGGAUAGGGUAGGAGAACAAAAGUCUGUCUUUUGAGUCGAAACUAAAUUCUCAAAAGCAGCGCUUCAGUUACAAAGAUUUAGUUCCCCUCAAGUAGGUAAGUAGGAUUUCUUCUAGCUUAAUGAGAAAAAAAAAAAAAAAAAAAAAAAAAAAAAAAAAAAAAACUAAGAAAGAAAAAGGAAA